This 305-nucleotide unclassified non-coding RNA is filed under the name plant metagenome. RNAcentral describes it as "partial contains 5.8S ribosomal RNA, internal transcribed spacer 2, and large subunit ribosomal RNA". The stretch from base 1 to 105 matches the Rfam family "5.8S ribosomal RNA", at positions 50 to 154 of the family's 154-position model. The record is from RNAcentral.
GAAAUGCGAUAAGUAAUGUGAAUUGCAGAAUUCAGUGAAUCAUCGAAUCUUUGAACGCACAUUGCGCCCGCCAGUAUUCUGGCGGGCAUGCCUGUUCGAGCGUCAUUUCAACCAUCAAGCCCCCGGCUUGUGUUGGGGACCUGCGGCUCCCCGCAGGCCCUGAAAAACAGUGGCGGGCUCGCUGUCACACCGAGCGUAGUAGCAUACAUUCUCGCUCAGGGCGUGCUGCGGGUUCCGGCCGUUAAACGACCUUCAUAACCCAAGGUUGACCUCGGAUCAGGUAGGAAGACCCGCUGAACUUAAGC